This 40-nucleotide small RNA is filed under the name Pongo abelii (Sumatran orangutan). Its description in RNAcentral is "sense overlapping". The record is from RNAcentral. Lineage: Eukaryota; Metazoa; Chordata; Mammalia; Primates; Hominidae.
ACUCCAGCCUGGGCGACAGAGCAAGACGCCGUCUCAAAAA